CUUCCAAUUUAUGUAGUGAAUUUUAAAAAUUAAAAACACUAAAAAAGGCAUUAUUUUAGCCUGUAAUUAGUUAAGCCAUUCAAAUUUGAAACAUACAAAAUGAUUUAUUUGAAUUCAGGAACUGCCCCUGUUCCUUAUAUCAUUGCUUUGUUUUUUAAAUUUUAGUUUGACUCAAUUUUACAGUUUCAGGAUUUUGUUUCUGUUUCACGUUUUAAGCUUUUCUUUUAUAAAUAGUUACUUUCCUAGUCUGAAAUCUAUACAUUGUUUCAGUAAUGAAUUGAGGUGAGAGGAUUGCUUGAGCCCAGAAGGUCAAGGCGGCAGUGAGCCAUAAUCCAGCCACUACACUCUAGCCUGAAUGACAGAGCAAGACUCUGUCUCAAAAAUGAACAAAGAAAGAAAAGAAAGAAAGAGAGAGAGAGAGAGGGAGGGAAGGAGGAAGGAAGGAAGGAAGGAAGGAAGGAAGGAAGGAAGGAAGAAAAGGAAAAAUUAAUCAUCAUAUUAACCAAAAACACAUAGCAAGACAAGAUAACUAAAUAUUUUCAUUUGGAAAUUGGGAAAUUUAGUCAAUUUUAAAACUCAGCAAAUGAGAUCAUUUCACAGAAGCAACCUAGGUUUGCUGGUAAAUUAAAAUUAUGACAUUUUGUUUUGGUUUGGGAGGGUAGUUCCUCUUCUGUAAAUUGUGUAUCUCUGCUGCUGCUGGCAAAUUGGGCACUCAGCAGUGGCCACAGACAGUUCAGCCUUGGUGAGUGGAAGUCCACAUUGCUGAAUCCAUGCAUAGCCUCCAUCCCUGCCACCAUGGCCGCUAUGUUCAUGGGCUCAUUGGACAAUGACAGGGGUAUUUUCCUGAUGCGGUUAGUUUGGGGUCCAUAAAACUGGGAGCAACUGCAUUAUUCGUAAGACUUGGCAAGAGUCUUAGAAGUGGAACUGUUUGUGUUCAUGACCCUGGAGUCAGUGUUUGGGGUGGACACUGUGAUCCGAUUUGUACGGGAUUGGAAUGACUUGCGGGCUCAUCAAGGAAAAAGAGAUGGCCACAGGGGGGCAGUCGCACACAUGACUUUAUUGGGUGACGUUUUGUCAGGUUUGCAGAGAGAAGCCCCUCCCAGCAGGAAUCUGUGCAGAGAAUAAGCUGCCAGGCUUGCUUCUCGAAACGAUGGGACACUGGACAAGGGGCUGUGUGUCUAGGGGACGCCUCACAGCAGCACAGUGGGGAGUUUCUGGUUUAAGGUUUUCAUAACUGGGGUUUAUCUUACUGCGAGUAGAUGUGGUUGAAAUUUUCUGGACAUGCA
RNAcentral lists this long non-coding RNA (1286 nucleotides) under Homo sapiens (human). RNAcentral describes it as "non-protein coding lnc-IL17RA-13:2". Lineage: Eukaryota; Metazoa; Chordata; Mammalia; Primates; Hominidae. The record is from RNAcentral.